AAGAUUGAGACUUGUAUGGCUUCGUUGAAGGAUGCCCGGAGAGUAAUUCAGGAAGGCAAAACCGAAGGCUGGGGUCAGCUAGUGGAGUUGCCAGAAAACAAGCGUAAGGAGGGAAUUGGUUUCCUUGACAGUAAGCCUGGGAUGUUCGACCCUACCAGAGGUUCUUUCCACAGUGCUGGUUUCAUUCAUGAUUCACCAGAGACCAAUGCAAUUUUAGAUGAUGCACCUGGAGGAGUGACACCGGUCUUUGUGACGCCUGGAGGAGCUUGCUGCAACUGGAUUGCUGUUGACAUUCCUUCUGUGACACCCUGCUCUAAGUAAUGUGUUUGUCUUGUUUUUUGUUGUUUUUUGUUUUUAAGAAAACUCCUUUAGUUCUGCCCAAGGCGAAAGUGAAAUCAUGUAGGGCUUUGUU
RNAcentral lists this microRNA precursor (412 nucleotides) under Medicago truncatula (barrel medic). RNAcentral's name for it is "miR2610b stem-loop (mtr-MIR2610b)". Lineage: Eukaryota; Viridiplantae; Streptophyta; Magnoliopsida; Fabales; Fabaceae. The record is from miRBase by way of RNAcentral.